AGGAAAGCCGGCAGGAAUUUUAUAUGGACCCUUCGCCACUGGUGCUUUCAAUUGUCUUUAAUUUACCACUGCUACAAAACGUGUUGUCUCUGUAAAGGAGUAAGAAACCUCUUAAGCAACACGAUAUAUCAAGUUGUACCUUGUAGCUAAGAUAAUUGAAGAUCUUUAAUAUGAGAAUUUGUACUGACCGAGGAUCUGUUGGGCAGUAAGAAUGGAAACCGAAAAUAUUAGUUGCCUAAGUAAUCGCCAUGUUUGCGCAUAAACAGCAUCAACGCAACCUUUAACUUUGCAGCAGUAAUAUAACAAGGCAGCAUAAGAAGGCAGAGAUUAAUGGGCUGCACUCUCUACUGGGUAUUAGAAAUGUUUCAAGUACGGUAUUUUAGAAAAAUAACAAGCUACAACCAUUAUAAAAUGUAGGUAAAUAUUGUAACUUUGACUUUUCAUACAACAAUUUUACGGAUUUAUCGCGAGUUUUGUUAUAAUUCGACGGGUGCAAAGUAAAAAGAGUUAUAUACAAAACAGCUAGUUUUCAGGAGAGCGUAUAAUAAGAAAAAUGCUCCCAUUUUGUUUAUUUUAAACUAAAUUUGUUGAAAUUUUCAUUACCGCUUCAUUAUUUCAUAUGGCAUCUACAUGUAUAUUUAUUUUUUAGUUAUUUACUGCAAUAAUAAAAAAAUCUCAAAAUUGUAGUUAACUUUUUUCACUUUGCACCCGUCGAAUUAUCUCGUGACGUUUCAAAGACUUUAUGACCCCGAAGGAUUGAGGUUGUUGGUUGUCCGAAAAGUGGGUUACAAUAUUUACAUUUAACAAUUAGUAACGCAAAAUAAACUGUGUGUCUUAAAAA
Molecule: long non-coding RNA, 841 nt
Organism: Manduca sexta (tobacco hornworm)
Lineage: Eukaryota; Metazoa; Arthropoda; Insecta; Lepidoptera; Sphingidae
Exons: 2
Source: RefSeq, a predicted model, not a curated record